Molecule: long non-coding RNA, 2083 nt
Filed under: Gallus gallus (chicken)
Lineage: Eukaryota; Metazoa; Chordata; Aves; Galliformes; Phasianidae
Source: RNAcentral
CUGAACCCCAACUUUCACAUUACAUGGGUUAGUCUUUGGGGAAAUGAGGUACUGCGUGGUUUUCUUAAUUGCAGCCAGCAUUAGAAGCUUCACUGUUGGUAACUGUUUGUCAUUUGGGGUAGAAGGGUGAAUCUUGCUUUGCCAUGACAAAGCUCAGUUGGACACCUUUUUCCCAAAACAGAUUAAAGUGACUUUGUCCCAGAAUAAAUCAAGACAAUGGGAAAACUACCAUGUAAAGUUUAUAUACAAGAAUAUAACAUUUAUCUGAAGUAUUUACAAGGUUAAUUAAAGCAAUAUUUUACAACUUUUUCAGGUUAGCCACUAGGUAUGUUACAGUUAGGCUACAGAUGGUUUAAUUUGCAAAAUAAUAAGAAAAAAGUUGCAUUCAUAUAAACCAGUUCCAAAACCUGUUUUGUUUUUGUUUUUUUUCUUAAGAAAAGGGCACAGUCUUUAUGGUGGAAAAUACAGUGGAAAAUAAAACUUGAGAAUAGUUAAUAUACCCUUACUGGUGCCUAUGUAUCACAUGCAAGAGUUGUAACAUGACCUUUAUAAAUUUAAUAUAGAUGGCAAGCAAUUUCACCUCAGUGAAAUAGUCGUACCCCUUGUGACAAGCCAGUGGCACACGUCUGUCUUUCUUUGUUUCCUACUUUUGCACAACAAACAUGCAUGUAUACAGAGAGGCAGCAAUAUAAAUGAACCAGCAUUACCAAAAUGAAGAGGGAAAAACCUCAGAUAAGAGUCACAUUUGCAACCAUUAAAAAAACAAACAAGAAAAAAAAACCUGUUAAGUGAGAUAGUUUAAUACUUCCCCCAAAUAGUCAUGAUAUAUAUAUUUUUAUUACAUUUAACCUAUGUACAGAAACAAAGGGCUCUCCCCCUCUUGGAGAUUGGUUGCUGUGUCUCCUGGCCAGGGCAUCUCGAGGUGUAGAGAGGCUAAAGAAAGAAGGUUGGGGAGGCCUCGAGAGCUUGGGUCAGAGGAGGCUGCUGGAAGCCAACGCAGCCAAAGCCACUAACACUGCAGUUUGCGGAUGCUGCGGGAGAACCGCUUAAAAGCUCGCUGCCCUUUCUGCCACCGCUUCAGUGAGGUGAUCACCAGUUCCCCAGCUUGCUUUUGCCCCAUCACCAAGUAGGGGACAUUGAUGUCAUUCAUCUCGUCACAGGUACACUGGAGGCCACCUUUGAGCCAGAGCACAAUCUUCCUCAGAUCCCUUUCAGUCAGCCCAUUCAGCUUGUAGAUGGUCUUGCUCUUUGUUUCAGGGGUGAUCUUGGUAUCCCCAUUGAUGUAGGCAAUCUCCUUCACUUUUAUCUUCAAGGCAAAGUCAUUUUUGCAGAGGUUUUCCAUGAUGUCGUUAUCAUCCUCAUUUUUGUUCUUGCAGGCAUCGCAGACUUUGGGUGCUUCCCUGGUGACUGGGAGGAUGUGGUCACUGCUGGCCAGCGGGAUGCAGAGGUCAUUGUCCUUGGGGAAGCGGCUGCAGUCCAGCAUGUCGGGCCAGGGGAAGCCGAAAGCAGACAUCACUGGUGCACAGCUCUCCUUUACCUCCUCGCAGAGUGAGUGGCAGGGCUGGAUGAUCUCGUCCAGGUCGUCGAUGCAGACAGGGGCAAAGAGGGAGCAGAGGAACUUCCUAGUAUCGGGGUGACACUGCUUCUGCACCAGCGGGAUCCAGGUGGAGGCCUGCUCCAGCACCUCCUGCACCGUCUCAUGCCCCAGCAGGUUGGGCAGCCGCAUGCUCUGGUACUCGAUGCCUCGGCACAGCAGCAUCGGGGCUGGGAUGGGCUUGCAGUUGGAGCGCUUGUAGGAGAAGUCGGGCUCCCCGAAAGGGAAGAGCCCGGCGGUCGAACCCAGGCACUGGGAGGCCAGCAGGAGCAGGGCGCAGAGGCGGCACGGCAUGGCGGGGCGGUGGGCUGAGCGGAGUGCCGAGCGGGCUCCAGCUCAGGCUGCUCUGCUGCGUGACCAACGGGGACGAACGGAGACUCUGAGAGAGAGGCCCAAACCUUAAUGUCCAUGCUUGCAGCUGAAGGCUGGAGAUGGCCACUCAGUGCUGCCAACCUGGUUGGGAUUCUGCCGCAUCCCUGCAGUGCCCAG